Molecule: ribosomal RNA, 253 nt
Filed under: uncultured bacterium
Lineage: Bacteria
Description: partial 16S ribosomal RNA
Rfam family: Bacterial small subunit ribosomal RNA
Source: RNAcentral
UACGAAGGGUGCUAGCGUUGUUCGGAUUUACUGGGCGUAAAGCGCACGUAGGCGGCUCGGUAAGUCGGGGGUGAAAUCCUGGAGCUCAACUCCAGAACUGCCUUCGAUACUGGCGAUCUUGAGUCCGGAAGAGGUGAGUGGAACUCCUAGUGUAGAGGUGGAAUUCGUAGAUAUUAGGAAGAACACCGGUGGCGAAGGCGGGUCUCUGGGCCGAUACUGACGCUGAGGAGCGAAAGCGUGGGGAGCGAACAGG